Hevea brasiliensis (rubber tree) is the source of this 1397-nucleotide RNA transcript. It is a transcript of the gene named nudix hydrolase 16, mitochondrial, with no coding region annotated. The transcript is spliced from 2 exons. The record is from RefSeq and is a predicted model, not a curated record. Lineage: Eukaryota; Viridiplantae; Streptophyta; Magnoliopsida; Malpighiales; Euphorbiaceae.
AACCAAUGGGCCCCUCCAUUUGGGAUGGGAAAAAGGAUUCAUUCCUUAGUAUGUGCAGCUGCAUUGGUUGCCUGCAGUGGUCGGCAUCAGCAGCGGUACGAGGGCGGUUGUCGCCUUGUCGCCGGGUAUUUGCUUUCGUAGUUUUCCUAAACAAUUUUUAUGUGUACAUUCGUAUUUGUAUAGGUAUAUGUGUUUGGAUAUGAUGAUUUAUGAGGUCGUCAAAUGUUUGAUAAUGCCAUUAUCACUUAAUGGGUUAUCUUUUAGAUUUUCUUAGUAAAAGGUUAAUGGUGUUAUGUACACACUGGUGUUCCACUAAUAAUCUUGUUUUUUAAGCUUUAUGGGGAUUAAUUAUUUUUUUCUCGUAAUGUAAUUGGCCAUUUUGGUUACAUUUUUCUUCUCAUGGGUGUUUUGUGGGACGUGUUUAUAUCAUUCGUCUCUGAUUUUCUCUCUCUCUUUCGGGCACUGACUUUGAAAGUGAAUAGUUGGUGAGGUGAUGCAUUAUUGAUUGUAGGAUGAAUUCUAUUGGCGGGGUUUACAAAUAUUAGUUGUGAAAGGAGUUGUUGAGCAUAUUCUUCUAGAAAGGAUUUGAUAUGGCAGAGUUCCUUAGACUGUUACUAAUUUCUCUUAAAUGUUCUAAGUCCUCUUUUUUAUUUUAAAAUCACUGCAUUAGAGAUGCUAAUAUUUACUUCCCCUUAAGCUCUCUCUUAUUUGAUUCUCUUCUAUUUUCGAAUGAUUUUAAUUGCCAAUUGCAAAAUAUAAAGGAAUACGAAUCCUAUACUCAAACAAUGUUUAUUUCUUAAUAUUUUCUUAAUAUUAAGGGAUGUGCAUGUUGAGGAUUCCUGUAAUUGUUCUGUAUGGCAUUUUUUUAAUGGUUAUACACAGUGCAUGGCCCUCUCUGCUUAGCAGCGAGAUGGGGAUAGAUUAUUCAACUUAAGCUUAGCCAAUUUCUUUAUUUCUUUGUGUAUUCUCCCGAAAUUUUGGCGUGUCACUUUUUUUUCCUUCGCAUUUUCUUUUUGGAUGGUAAUAUCUUUUGUUUUCUGUGAAUUCAUAUUGUGUCUGCUGAAUCGCUGGCUGUUGGGAGCUAAAUAGUGAAAAGCUUAACAUUUAUGCCAAAACAUUUUGUAUCAGCUCUGAGAAUGUUGCUGAUGCUUUUGAUGGAUGGUGCAAAAAAAAAAAAAAAUAUUGUUGUUUGAUCUUGAAUCACUAACUCUGCAGGUUAUGUUGGCAGGUGUAUUCCUUUUAGGUAUAGAAAUUACUAUGAAAAUGGUGAUACCGAUGCUGAGAAGAUUGUUGAGGUUCUUAUGAUCAACUCAACUAGUGGACCAGGUCUCUUGUUUCCAAAGAUGUUUGAAGAAUCACUGCCCAUGCUAAUCCAUUACAUGGUUUGAAUCUUGAAA